UACAGAGGGUGCGAGCGUUGUUCGGAAUUAUUGGGCGUAAAGGGCGCGUAGGCGGUGCGGUAAGUCACCUGUGAAAUCUCCUGGCUCAACUGGGAGCUUGCAGGCGAAACUGCCGUGCUGGAGUGUGGGAGAGGUGCGUGGAAUUCCUGGUGUAGCGGUGAAAUGCGUAGAUAUCAGGAGGAACACCUGUGGCGAAGGCGGCACUCUGGGCCGGUACUGACGCUGAGGAGCGAAAGCGUGGGGAGCGAACAGG
Molecule: ribosomal RNA, 253 nt
Filed under: uncultured bacterium
Lineage: Bacteria
Description: partial 16S ribosomal RNA
Rfam family: Bacterial small subunit ribosomal RNA
Source: RNAcentral